Molecule: ribosomal RNA, 460 nt
Filed under: uncultured bacterium
Lineage: Bacteria
Description: partial 16S ribosomal RNA
Rfam family: Bacterial small subunit ribosomal RNA
Source: RNAcentral
CCUACGGGAGGUAGCAGUGAGGAAUAUUGGUCAAUGGACGAGAGUCUGAACCAGCCAAGUAGCGUGAAGGAUGACUGCCCUAUGGGUUGUAAACUUCUUUUAUAUGGGAAUAAAAUGUUCCACGUGUGGGAUUUUGUAUGUACCAUAUGAAUAAGGAUCGGCUAACUCCGUGCCAGCAGCCGCGGUAAUACGGAGGAUCCGAGCGUUAUCCGGAUUUAUUGGGUUUAAAGGGAGCGUAGGUGGAUUGUUAAGGCAGUUGUGAAAGUUUGCGGCUCAACCGUAAAAUUGCAGUUGAAACUGGCAGUCUUGAGUACAGUAGAGGUGGGCGGAAUUCGUGGUGUAGCGGUGAAAUGCUUAGAUAUCAUGAAGAACUCCGAUUGCGAAGGCAGUUCACUGGACUGCAACUGACACUGAGGCUCGAAAGUGUGGGUAUCAAACAGGAUUAGAUACCCCAGUAGUC